CAUGCUUCAGACAUGCUCCAGCUUGGAGUAGACAGGGGAUAUUUCAGGGAACAGCAGCAGUACCACGUGAAAGUGAGGGACUGCAGCAGGCAUACCAAAAGGCCAGGGAGGCCAACAGUCACUCUGGUAUCAAGCUCAGACCAAUUGCUUUUACAAAAAGCUGCAUGUAGCGUGACCAGACAGCAUGUGUAAAAAAUUGGGAUGGGGUGGGGGGUAAUAGGAGCCUAUAUAAGAAAAAGACCCCAAAAUGGGGACUGUUCCUAUAAAAUCGGGACAUCUGGUCACCUUAGCUGCAUGGCAUACUUGGCAGACUCCACCACCACCCUGCACACCACCAUGAAUACCUCUGAGAAGCCUGAGUCACAGGCCCUUGCAUGAACAGCGAGGCUGAGGAGGCGAAGAAAAGGGGGGCCACGUGUCUGAGGGUUUCAUCUAUGCCACGAGCCAGGACCCGUUUGAGACUCCACUACACUCCAGUCAAUCCUGGCAGUUGAGCAUGGAUGAGCCCAACACAGGAGAAGGAAUCUCUCUGAGUUUCUCCCUCUACACCCAUGGAACAGGAGGAGUCAGAUAAGGUGGAGAAGGAAGAGGACUUGGAAUGACAUUUUAGUGAGAUCAUGCGUGAGAUCAUGCAAACCAGUGCUGCAUUGGCACAUGAGCAGAGGGCUUGGAAGGUGAAUACUGCAGACUUUAUGGAGAAGGACAGAGCAUACAGAAGAAAGGCACAGGAAAAAGGACAGGAAGAGGCACCAGGACAUAAUGGGGCUUCUCUGGCAGCAAAUAAUGAUGCUGCAGACUCCAGGAUCACGACUGGCAUUUCAACAUGCCAAUUAUAAUCUCCUGUUUCGGAAGUCACUGCUUGUAGCUUUUUGAACAGGCUUGUGUUCUUAAAGAUGCAACCUUCAGUCAUCUGCCCUGACCAGCCAACACUGAUGUCAGUGAACUGUCCCCAGGGAUCCACCAAUGCUUGCAUAACCAUAGAAAAGUAGGCCUUUCUGUUGAGGUACUCUCUGGCAGGGUGCCAAGAAAAGGAUAAGUGUGCCACCUAUUGCUCCACCAGUUUGGGACCCCCAUUGCUGCAGAUCCAGCCACUAUGUCCUGUACUAUUCACUAUGAUCCAGUCACCCUUGUGCAACUUGUUUCUGCCCCAUCGCACAUUGCCAAAUCUUCCCAAAAGACACUGCACUGGAGAGUGGUGGUCUGCAUACUGGGAUACCUACCCAUUGUGCACUGCAAUGUGCAUUGAUGCAAGCAUUCCAGUAUUUCUAUACCUCUGAAGUGACCUCUGCAAGAAUGUGAUGUGGCAGCUGGGAAUAUAUGAGUCCUAAC
Gopherus evgoodei (Goodes thornscrub tortoise) is the source of this 1329-nucleotide long non-coding RNA. RefSeq lists it as uncharacterized. The transcript has 3 exons. The record is from RefSeq and is a predicted model, not a curated record. Lineage: Eukaryota; Metazoa; Chordata; Testudines; Testudinidae.